GGCAGAGCUGUAAAAUAUCCAACGGGAUAUAGCCCGCUGUGCAGUGCCGAUAGAUGGACCGAUUCUAGCUCCAACUGCCAAGCCUGUCCCACACACACACAAACACACACACACACUCACACACACACACACACACACACACACACACACACACACACACACACACACACACACACACACACACACACACACACACAUACACACACACAUACACACACACACACACAAACACACACAAGCACACACACACACACAAAAACAAACAAAACACACAAACACACACACACGCACACAGACACACAUACACACACACACACACACACACACACACACACACACACACACACACACACACACACAACACACACACAGACACAAACACACACAGACACACACACAAAAACAAACACACACACACACACACACACACACACACACACAAACAGACACACAGACACAAAACGCACACACAAAAACACACACAGAUACACACAGACACACACACACACGCAUCUGGCAUCCUCGCGGAACCAAAUCCCAUCGCCCGUUGAAGGCACCCCACCCGCCUCUCUGGGGCUCCGCAUAAAACACAACAUGUGUACAGCUGCCACCAGUGUGUCGCCGGCAAUAUCAAUACGGCCUUUGUCUGCCUGUCCUACUUGUCUUGUUUAUGGAACCAGAGACACGCUGUCGUGGUUCCGUCGUCUAUUGUUCCCCGCUCGGAGCGCGUGCUUCUCCGGAGCUUCCACGGUGAGGAACUCCUUCUCUCCCGUUACAGAACGGAGAAAGAAGGAAAAAAAAGGAAAAACACUGCCACCUUUGUAUUUGUCUUUUUGUUUCAUGUCAUGUGUGGCGUUUGGCGUGAGCGAGAUUGCGUUGGAAGUGCGGUUUGUGUUGUGUGUUGUGUGUUGUUUUUGUUUUAUGUGUGUUCUUUUAUUUGAAGGCGCUUCUACACUCUGGCGAAAAAACAAACAAAGAAAUAAAUCAAAUACAUUACUAAGUAUAUUACAUAAAGAAAAUACACAAAGACCAGAAUGA
Molecule: long non-coding RNA, 1038 nt
Filed under: Gadus morhua (Atlantic cod)
Lineage: Eukaryota; Metazoa; Chordata; Actinopteri; Gadiformes; Gadidae
Description: lncRNA (ENSGMOG00000022385.1)
Source: RNAcentral